CGUCCAGAAUACUCACUUGGCAGUUGAACUCAGUUGGAUGAAGACGCAACAGUAUGUGUAGUGCUGCAGCAUGCUUCAGGUCGGGUUUUUAUAAGAGGUUGAAGCAAAUACAUCGUUUUGAGAGACAUGGGCGAUCCGCUUUUGCUUAAGAUUGACAGGCUCUUGAAGAUCUUUUUGUAAGAUAAGUAUGCUUUAUGUUAUACAACACGCGCAAAUACACUCACAUGUCAAUUAUUCAUUACAUAAGAGUCUUUUACGCUUCUCUGAAAUACGCCAAACUUUUACCCCCUCCUUGCAAUGCGUGAUACAUACUGUUUAUAGAUGUUUGAACACUCAGAAGAAAGUGCAAUUUAUAUGGUGCAAACGGCCGAAGUAAUAACUUCCACAAGUGGAAGACUUUUUGUUUUCGGCGCUUUUUAGUAAGAUAUCUUAUUAAGUAAUAUCAUUAACUCAAUACAGGCCAUACAAUUUGGCAUAUUGCAAACUCGAUCUCAACCAUUUUUUUUUACUGUUCGCUGAGUCUGCGCUUCGAGCAAACCAAUGGGCACGCACAUCAUUUAAAUAAUCAGCGUAUUUUCCUCUGUUAAAUAUUUUAAUAUGUUAUAUUUUAAUAUUUUAAUAUUAAAAAUGCACGUGUCUUAUGUUAAGAGUGUGUUCGUUUAAUAAAGAAUUGUAAACAUUUUCUCGUUUCAGAAGCCUGCCGUACCGUGCAACGUGCGCUUCCAAGCAAUCUUGGUAAUUUUGGUUCACAUUCAGGAAUUCAUCGUACUUACAUGCAUCAGUUGUAUCAAAAUUGAAUAAAUACUUUUAUAAUUCCCUGUUUUUUACU
Lingula anatina is the source of this 829-nucleotide long non-coding RNA. NCBI's taxonomy places the organism in Eukaryota, Metazoa, Brachiopoda, Lingulata, Lingulida, Lingulidae. The record is from RefSeq and is a predicted model, not a curated record.